Molecule: non-coding RNA, 48 nt
Filed under: Schistosoma margrebowiei
Lineage: Eukaryota; Metazoa; Platyhelminthes; Trematoda; Strigeidida; Schistosomatidae
Source: RNAcentral
AUCCACUUGACGAGUCUCAAACAGGACGAAACGCGCGUUAAACUGAAU